GUUGUGCACUUGAUUAUAUGAGUUUGUUAGAAAAACCACUUUCCUUUGCUCCUAGCGCCUUCUCGUUCGCUGUAUAGCGUUUUGAGCGGAUAAAGAGCACAAGUGUGUAAGGAGACACAGGAUGAAUGGGAACUAGUUUUGUAAUUGUACUUUUGAUGAAAAGUCACUUUCUAGACAUAAAAUGUCACUUUUUUCACCUUAUCAUACUUUUUCAUCAACUUUUGCAUUUUAAUGUAAACAAUCAUAUUUCGUAAUAUUUUGGGUCAGAAACAUUUCAUAGUACUAUAUUAUGUCUAACUAUGUGAAAAAUAUCAAAUUGGAGUAGGUCAGUGCAACUGAUUAUAUGAGUUUGUUAGAAAAACCACUUUCCUUUGCUCCUAGCGCCUUCUCGUUCGCUGUAUAGCGUUUUGAGCGGAUAAAGAGCACAAGUGUGCAUGGAGACACAGGAUGAAUGGGAACUAGUUUUGUUAUUGUACUUUUGAUGAAAAGUGACUUUCUAGACAUAAAUUGUCACUUUUUUCCCCUUAUCAUACUUUAUCAUCAACUUUUACAUUUUAAUGUAAACAAUCAUAUUUCGUAUUAUUUUAGGUCAGAAACAUUUCAUAGUACUAUAUUAUGUCUAAAUAUGUGAAAAAUAUCAUAUUGCAGUAGGUCGGGCAAUUGAUUAUAUGAGUUUGUGUGAAAAACCACUUUCCUUUGCUCCUAGCACCAACUCCAUCGCUGUAUAGCGUUUUGUGCUUAUAAAGAGCACAAGUGUUUAUGGAUUCAAGGGAUAAAUGGGAACUAGUUUUGUUAUUGUACUUUUGAUGAAAA
This is a long non-coding RNA of Ictalurus punctatus (channel catfish), 813 nucleotides long. Lineage: Eukaryota; Metazoa; Chordata; Actinopteri; Siluriformes; Ictaluridae. The record is from Ensembl.